This 600-nucleotide ribosomal RNA is filed under the name Triticum aestivum (bread wheat). RNAcentral describes it as "partial small subunit ribosomal RNA". The record is from RNAcentral. Lineage: Eukaryota; Viridiplantae; Streptophyta; Magnoliopsida; Poales; Poaceae.
AUGGCCACGGCAAAUAGCCUGAAGAAAAAGCAGCAGCAGCUUCAAGCUGAUCAAGAUCUGCUAGCUGACAAAUGGACUGAAGUCCUCGUGACCGAGGAAUAUAAACUCGAGCGCCCCUCCAAGAGUUACCCAAGGCGCAGGUUACUACCCCGACUGGAGGAAGAAGCGUAUGAGACGGCUGAUCGGCCACCUCGUGGCCGCGAUAGAGAGGCAUUUCAGCCAAAAGCUCAGCCUCAACCCCAACACCAUUCAAAUAAAAAGGCAUGGAGAGAUACGCCAGACCUGCGAGACAUGUUGGAGGACAAGGCAAAGCAUUUAAGAUCGAUCUACGGAUCAAGAGGGCGCACCAUUCUGCGAGACGACAAACGUCACGUCGGAUACAGUAAAAGCAAAUCCAGCCGGACCGAACACAGCGGGCAAGACCCAUUUGAGCUGCAUCGAGAUAUAGCCCAAUACAGAGGCGCCGCACACCCCUUAUGCUUCAUAGACGAAGUAAUAGAACAUCAAUUCCCAGAAGGUUUCAAACCUGUAAAUAUUGAAUCAUACGACGGUACAAAAGAUCUCGCAGUAUGGAUUGAGGACUUCCUCCUCCACAUCCAC